AUCUGCCCUCUGCAAAAUCACCUCAUUUCCCUCAUUCAACCUCUGGUCCUCCUGCCAGGCAUUUCUCUUUUCUCCUCUUUCUUUUUCCCUUCCAGAUACCCCCUUUUAUUUUCCCAUUUACUGCACUGGGAAAUCAUGCCCCACCAUCUACUAGGCUUAAAAAAUCCCAAAUAGCCUUUACUUCAUGAAUAAUUUGGUGACCGAUUUCUUCAGCUAUCAAAAUAAUAAAAAUAGAGGGAACAGGCCUGGGCUCUCACCUUUUCAUCCUCUAGGCUUGAAUCCUGGGAUGUUAGCACUUACGAGUUAAAAGGGAGCACAGAGGUGAUUCAGCCCAUAGCUAAAAUGGUGUAGACAUCCCUUCUCUAACAUCCAGUGCUUACUAGCCUUAAGGACCCAGAGUGAGGAUCUCCAAGGAAGAAGAGCUCUGGACUUCCCAAGCAGCCUUUCCAAGGCAGGGCAGUUCUCCUAGUUCAAAAAGAUUCCACCAGAGGCUGAGAUACAUCUCCUCGCAACCACCGGUUUUGUUUUUGCCUUUGUACUAACCCCUUCCUCGUCUACAUGGCAGUUCUUCAAAUAUUUGAAAAGAGAUAUCUCAUCUUAAUAGAGUACAGUGACAUCCUCUCUCACUCUUUCUUCAGGGACCUGAGACCAUUUCAGAUAGUUAGCUUGAUUUUUAGCUGACCGUGAAGCCCUUGCCCUCAACAAAUGUAUCGUCGUGAAGGUAUACCUGAUGGGGAGAGCCAUUUCUGGGGUCAAAGAGGAGGUGAGGGAGAUGAGUGAAGUAGAAAUCUUAGGAUCCUAAUGCAAACUGGGAAAGCUUUUUGGGAACAUAGCUACUGACCAUUGAGUUUCCCAGGUGAAACUGCCCAUAACUGUAGCCACCAUUUUAUUUAAAAAUGAUUCUGACCCUUUCCUUCUUACUUACUUGCUCUUACAGUUACUGUGGUUCCUGCUCCAAAAACGUAGUUGUAGCCACUAGUGCCACAGUGCUAGGUCUACCUACACUAACCUCAUCAAGACUGUGGGCUGCGGCAGGCAGGCUGCCUACGGGCCUACCUUUACGCCCCUAUGUAAGAAGCCCUUGGUAACUAUUCUAACCUCUUGCUUUGGCUUUUACUUUCACAGAGUUUCCUCAUUUGUGAAGAAAGCAGGGGAGGCUAAUAUCCAUCCUGGGGGAUUGUUCAGAAGGCAAUAUGAGUUCAAGUAGGAGACGCACUUUAUACAGUACUUUAUACAGCACACAGCAAGCAUUCAGUAAGAGUUCGUCAGGAAGAUCAAGAUUAAUUCUUUUCAUCUUAGAAGAUGCAUAUAAUUUUAGUUUGUCACAUCUUCUCUCUGAAACCUGGAAUGUUCAUAGGUACUUUAAAUUAUAUCCUAAGGCUCCUUUGUCAACUAGUAAAAAAUUUCCAGCAGUUAAACUUUGGGAAUUUUUCAUAUAUAGGAUGCCAUCCCAAGAGUAGGGUCGGCAGUUUCAGAAUGUUUACUGAAUCAUAGGACUUGCUUACUAUGUUUUAUAUCUGUUUAAGAGACAUAUGAACAAGGAAUGAUAAAUUGUUAUGGGGGGGGGGAACCCAAAACACAAAAUAAAAUAACUCAAAACAAAUACAAACUGGUAAGAAGAAUUUAGGAUAAUAUGUUGGUGACUUUCACUUAUAGACAAUUAUAACUUACUUGGCUUUACGCUGAGCUUGGUUCCAGAGCCAAAGUAAAAUAUGUUAGAGUUGUACACCGUGUUUACUAUCAUUACAAAAAGUCCUGGACUUCCUAAAAGGGAGGUGGUUAAACAGAGGAGACCAACCAAGGUAGGUCAAGCCUCACUCAACCCCACCAACUUCUUGCUAUUUUCCUAGAAAAUUCAAGAACCAAAGUGAGGAAUGAGCCAAGAAGACACAUUCAUUAUCAGAGACAGGCAAGAUAAGGGCAACUGAUUUUCUCCAGUGGUUUUAUCGAUUUCUUUUCUUUAGUUUUCUGCUUGGGUUCAUUCUUAUGUCUUCUGUGCUCCAUACACACAAUAUUUGCAACAAGGACACUGCCAGUAAAUGCUUUUUACCUUUUUCUUUUCCUAAUUAUAAAUGAAAAUUCUCCUCAGGUGGACUGGACUGUGAGAAAAAUCCCUACUCUCUGCCUUUAGUUCCAGGGCUAUCUGGAAGCUUCUCUCCCUUGGUCUGUACCUGGAUCUGUGUGCUUGACAACUUGAGCUGGGCUACUUUUAAUGAUAUCUUAAACCACACCAGCUGGUUUGCUGUAGUCUGUAUGUAUCAUCCACCAAGAUCCCUGUGUCCUAUCUGUCAGAGUACCUACAUUACAUAACCAAAUGUACUUUAACAUCCACAUCAACACUCUCCUUCCAGCCCCCACAAUGAAACCGUACAUUUUGGCGUGUGUGUGUGUGUGUGUGUGUGUAUGUUUUCUGCCUGCAUGUUCUCUUUAGCAAAGAAGAAGAAAAGAGGCCUCAGUGCUGGCUGUCAUUUGCAAGUCUAGAUGAAACAUUAUUUAUGAGCAAAAUAUUUUGCUGACAAUAAGAACAGAAAGGGAAGCUCAGUGCCAACAGUUAGACGCCCACACAGUUUGGAUUUAAACAAAUCUCAACAAAUGAACACAGUUAUGAGAAAGAAAAUAGAGGUGACUUCAGUCGAAGCCAAGUAAUUAUAAUACUUAGGCAGUUUUGGAGGGCAAGGGGUUUACUUGUUCUCACUUGUAGAAAUGAUAAGCAGUGUGUUACGGGAACACUUUGCUGGAAGGGCACCAGAGAGCUAUAGAAAGAGAGCUUCAUUUAAAUAUCUUAAAUAGGCAUGUUUGUGUUUAGCAGUAGAAAUAAGCUAGAAUAGGCUAGAAAUAUGGCUGGCUAACUAGACUUGGUUUAAGAUAGUUAGUUCCUGGUAAAACCAUCUUGUAGCAUUCGGUCUGGCUCAAAUGGAAAUGUUAUGAGACACAGAGACUCCCUUUAUGGAAUCUGUUCCUAUUAUUCAGCAUUCUUCUAGGUUAGGAUAGCUUCUUCUCCACUCAUUUUUCAUCAACUCCCCUUCCAAACUUAGCAAAAAGCCUUCUCUUUCUCUUUGGUCUUUGAUAAAUACUUCUCUUCUUACAUUACCCUUUUGGGCAUGUGCUGUUGGUGUCUCUCCACCAGCCUCAACCCCAGGCCCAUUAACUUACAUGUAUGUACAGUAGACAUUAAUAGAUUAAUAGAUCAGUGCAAAUAGAAUUUGAUUGUGGAGGCCUACCAGGUACAACAGUCAACUGGGUCCCAGAUCCAAAGGUCAGUUGCCACCCUGAACCUGAAGAAACACUGUGAUAUGCCCAACAACAAAAACCAGAUCAAAAGGCUAGGCUGGCAGUGCAAAGAGUUGGCAACUACUUUAUGGGUUAGGCCUCACAUCAUUGCCAGACUAUUGUCUGUCCACAAAUCAUAAAUAAACCCGUCUUUAUAAUCUCCCUUUGUUUUAGGGAAUCUUUGCUUUCCACUCUCUACUACAGAGUUCUAAGUGUCAAACAUAAGCCUUCAACAUAUAUGUAGAGUGAGUGGUCUCUGAUUUCAGAUGUUAAACCAGGGUUCACAUCUUUUCAUCUAAGAAGACUCACAAAGCCCAGGACAGAGACAAUUUCUCCUCCACUCUGGGCAUCACUGGGUUGUGCAACUAGGGAACUGCUCAAAUCCUUGCGUCCUCCUUAGACUCAGUCUACAGGAUCUAAAUGAGGUACAGAGCUGCAGUUAUCUGGUUAGUUUGGCUGCUAGUUUGAUAUUGCUAAAAUAAUUUUACAAUGAUUAAAUUAUCAGGGGAAAUUUCUAGUUUUCCACUUUACUUUUGGAUCAUUUCUUUUCUCCUGGCUAAAGUGGGACCUAUAUUGAUCUAGCUGCCAAAAGUCUUCAAAAAUGGGACAAAAAUAAAUUUUAAUAUUUUCUAAAGUAGUGAGGAUGGCACGAAAGGGUCGUGCCUAGGAGGGAUCAGAAUACAGAUCGUCACAUUCGAGGGAACAAAUGAGAUCCACCUCCAGAAGGUAACUUCCCUGAGGGCAAUAUCACAUUGAGUUUGUUCCCUAAUGGGUCCCUGGUCUGAGCAUCAAGCCUGGCAGAGAGUAGAUGGACAAAAAUAUUUGUCAGAUGAGUCCUGUGGACUCCUCAAACAUCAGGCCAGGUAAAUUAAUGGUUGAGACAAGCUCAGAAAACUGGAGAUUUAAGUUUUAGUUCCAGCUCAGGCACAGAUAGGCUGUAGGACCAUCAUAAAUUACCUGGUAAAUUAGCUGGUAAAUGAAGCUAUGAGAUCAUGAUCAGUCUCUUCCCCAGGCCUUAGUUCCAUCAUAAAUGGAGACAAUCAAAAGGGAUGAUUUUAAGGGUUCUUUCUGCUCCAUGAGGCUAUGUCAUACAAAUUUUUGGCCUAAAGUUUCAGAAACAAGAAGCAUCCCCUCGUACUUAUGAGUAAACUUUUUUUUUUAAGUGAUUUUCAGGGGCGCCUGGGUGGCUCAGUCAGUUAAGCUUCUGACUCUUGAUUUCAGCUCAGGUCAUGAUCUCACGGUUCGUGGAACCCUGAGUCGGUUUCUGCACUGACAGCAUGGAGCCUGCUUGGGGUUCUCUCUCUUCCUCUCUCUCUCUGCCCCUGCCUUGUUCUUGCUCUCGCUCUCUCAAAAUAAAUAAAUAAACAUUAAAAAAAAAAAAAAGGUGAUUUUCAGACUCUGGGAGAGGCUAGUCACAGUUGUUUUGGUCAAUGAUAAUUACUUGUAAGUUUCCUUCCAUAAAUGGACAUAAUCUUACUUAGCUGAAAAGAAUGGUGCCUUAGAGGCUUGUUAAAGAAUUAGAAAUCUUGUCACUGAUGACUGUACAAAUCCAGGGCUACAGGGCCUAGACAGUACCCCAAGAAUCAGUCACACCCCUUUACUCUCACCACAUAUAUUCUGGGAGAAAUACCCAGGGCUCCCCUACAUGCCCAUUUCACACCAAGACAUCAGGUCCUAGCCAGGGGUACUUUUGUCCUCCUUCUAUUUGAUGCUCAUUCACCCUUUCUAAACAUUCUUCGUAUAGUGUAUAAUUGGGGCUAAAUCAGCUCCUAAUCCACAGACAUUCCUUAAUCCAGGGGUACACUUUUAUACUUACUGGACUUCACAGAUAACUCAGUGCCUUGUCCGAAGAUAAGCUUUCCUCCCUGGUUAUAAUUCACACUGUGUUACAUAUCCUGUCAAAAACAUAUCCAAUCUUCCUGAACACAUUUCUAAUCCUCUUCCUCCAAACCCACAGCAGAUCUCUUCUCACACCAUAGCAUGAAUUGUGGCUAUACUUAUUGUAACUUUUUUUCUUAUAAGGGGAAUAAAGUACUUACACAGGGGACUGAUAGAGAAUAAUGAGAAUUCCUAUUUAUCCGAAAAUGUUUCUAUCCAAACAGAUUUCUCGUGUUUGCUUAAUGGCUCUGGGUAUUGCUGCUCAGGGAAAUGGCUUCCUUUCAAAUAUGUUUCUUGUGGUCUCAGCUAGAAAUACAUGGCACACAGGGGUUAAAAAAUUAAGGGCAGGUGAGACUCUGGGGAAUCAGGCGUACCCACAGUGACCACAACCUGGGUCCCUGCUCCAAAAUUCAAUUUCCACCAGCCAUCAGUUGUCACACUGGUGACAAACACUUCUACAAAAUGGCUUCCCCCGAGAAGACAGCUGGUAAAUGAAGACAAACUGCUCAUGGGGAAACAAUCUUGCUACAAAAUGAGCUGGUAUCACGAACCACCAACACAAACCAAGCAAAAAAAACACCACCUGUGUUUUGACAGCUUCCGCGUGAUGGAAGACAGGCUUCUUGGGAAGAAUAAUUAGCCAGAAAGAAGAACUUACUUGGUGUGACCAUGAGCUUGGUGCCUUUCCCAAAUGUGAGUUGGUAACUCCCAACCCUAGAGUCUACCCAGAGUUUCCUUUCUUUGCAAAAUCCCUGCAGAUGCUGAGAAAAUGAAACCACUCACAGCACAAGGAGCAGUGCUGACAGAAGCUCAGACUGUCACAGUAACCAGAUGACAGGCAGAAGAGCUGUGACAGAGGCUGGCCAUGGGGUGGACCAUCCCUUGGAGUCCUAGAGACAUGGCUGGCUUUCAGAGGCCAUCCAGUUCAUCCUCCCAUCUUCUGCCAAGGUGUUCUCUGACCAAAGACCUAUCCAGUCUUUAAGAGCUCCUGGGCAGGUGGUUCUCCUUUGCCAACAGCUUUUGCAUUCAAGAAACUGUGCCUUAUCUAAUUGAAAUCUGCAAACUGUAGCCCGAGUUCUUUGUGUCUCUAGCCUCCCUCCUUGAAGGAAAUUUCGCGUCAACAGACUCUAAACAGAAACUCAUCACGACGUACCACACUAGUCCCAGUGGUUGUUUCUGGGGAGCAAACUGAUACUGAAGGAAAUGGGUCAAGGUGAAUAUUGGCUUUAUCUGUAAUUUGAAUUGUUUUUACCAUGAGACAUCUUCAUGUAUUUCUUAGACAAAUUUAAAAUUAAUAACAACAUUAAAUAUUUUAAAUGGC
Molecule: long non-coding RNA, 6469 nt
Organism: Acinonyx jubatus (cheetah)
Lineage: Eukaryota; Metazoa; Chordata; Mammalia; Carnivora; Felidae
Exons: 2
Source: RefSeq, a predicted model, not a curated record